Molecule: ribosomal RNA, 490 nt
Filed under: uncultured bacterium
Lineage: Bacteria
Description: partial 16S ribosomal RNA
Rfam family: Bacterial small subunit ribosomal RNA
Source: RNAcentral
GACGAACGCUGGCGGCGUGCUUAACACAUGCAAGUCGAGCGGUAAGGCCCUUCGGGGUACACGAGCGGCGAACGGGUGAGUAACACGUGGGUGACCUGCCCUCCACUUCGGGAUAAGCCUGGGAAACCGGGUCUAAUACCGGAUAGGACCACCGCAUGCAUGUGCGGUGGUGGAAAGUUUUUCGGUGGAGGAUGGGCCCGCGGUCUAUCAGCUUGUUGGUGGGGUGAUGGCCUACUAAGGCGACGACGGAUAGCCGGCCUGAGAGGGUGAUCGGCCACACUGGGACUGAGACACGGCCCAGACUCCUACGGGAGGCAGCAGUGGGGAAUCUUGCGCAAUGGGCGAAAGCCUGACGCAGCAACGCCGCGUGGGGGAUGACGGCCUUCGGGUUGUAAACCUCUUUCGCGAUCGACGAAGCUCGCACUUCUGGUACGGGUGACGGUAGGUCGAGAAGAAGCACCGGCCAACUACGUGCCAGCCGCCGCGGUAA